Molecule: ribosomal RNA, 253 nt
Filed under: uncultured bacterium
Lineage: Bacteria
Description: partial 16S ribosomal RNA
Rfam family: Bacterial small subunit ribosomal RNA
Source: RNAcentral
UACGUAGGGUGCAAGCGUUGUCCGGAAUUAUUGGGCGUAAAGAGCUCGUAGGCGGUCUGUCACGUCGGCUGUGAAAACCCGAGGCUCAACCCUGGGCCUGCAUUCGAUACGGGCAGACUAGAGUUCGGUAGGGGAGACUGGAAUUCCUGGUGUAGCGGUGAAAUGCGCAGAUAUCAGGAGGAACACCGGUGGCGAAGGCGGGUCUCUGGGCCGAUACUGACGCUGAGGAGCGAAAGCGUGGGGAGCAAACAGG